GAUGAAGAACGUAGCGAAAUGCGAUAAGUAAUGUGAAUUGCAGAAUUCAGUGAAUCAUCGAAUCCUUGAACGCACAUUGCGCCCGCCAGUAUUCUGGCGGGCAUGCCUGUCCGAGCGUCAUUUCAACCCUCGAACCCCUCCGGGGGGUCGGCGUUGGGGAUCGGCCCUUUCACCGGGUGCCGGCCCCUAAAUACAGUGGCGGUCUCGCCGCAGCCUCUCAUGCGCAGUAGUUUGCACACUCGCACCGGGAGCGCGGCGCGUCCACGUCCGUAAAACACCCCAACUUCUGAAAUGUUGACCUCGGAUCAGGUAGGAAUACCCGCUGAACUUAAGCAUAUCAAUAAGCGGAGGA
RNAcentral lists this unclassified non-coding RNA (352 nucleotides) under soil metagenome. Its description in RNAcentral is "partial contains 5.8S ribosomal RNA, internal transcribed spacer 2, and large subunit ribosomal RNA". The stretch from base 1 to 120 matches the Rfam family "5.8S ribosomal RNA", at positions 35 to 154 of the family's 154-position model. The record is from RNAcentral.